AUACGGAGGAUGCAAGCGUUAUCCGGAUUUAUUGGGUUUAAAGGGUGCGUAGGCGGUUUGCUAAGCGGGAGGUGAAAUGCCGGCGCUCAACGUCGGAAGUGCCUCCCGAACUGGUGGACUUGAAUGACUCUGCCGUGGGAGGAAUGUGUAGUGUAGCGGUGAGAUGCUUAGAGAUUACACAGAACACCGAUUGCGAAGGCAUCUCACGAAGGGUUGAUUGACGCUGAGGCACGAAAGCGUGGGGAUCAAACAGGAUUAGAUACCCUGGUAGUCCACGCAGUAAACGAUGAUGGCUAACCGCUGGGCUUAUCAGUUCAGUGGCCAAGCGAAAGCGAUAAGCCAUCCACCUGGGGAGUACGACCGCAAGGUUGAAACUCAAAUGAAUUGACGGGG
This 393-nucleotide ribosomal RNA is filed under the name uncultured bacterium. Its description in RNAcentral is "partial 16S ribosomal RNA". It matches the Rfam family "Bacterial small subunit ribosomal RNA", at positions 523 to 918 of the family's 1533-position model. The record is from RNAcentral.